RNAcentral lists this ribosomal RNA (490 nucleotides) under uncultured bacterium. RNAcentral describes it as "partial 16S ribosomal RNA". It matches the Rfam family "Bacterial small subunit ribosomal RNA", at positions 30 to 507 of the family's 1533-position model. The record is from RNAcentral.
AUUGAACGCUGGCGGCAGGCCUAACACAUGCAAGUCGAACGGUAACAGGAAGACGCUUGCUUCUUUGCUGACGAGUGGCGGACGGGUGAGUAAUGUCUGGGAAACUGCCUGAUGGAGGGGGAUAACUACUGGAAACGGUAGCUAAUACCGCAUAACGUCGCAAGACCAAAGAGGGGGACCUUCGGGCCUCUUGCCAUCGGAUGUGCCCAGAUGGGAUUAGCUAGUAGGUGGGGUAACGGCUCACCUAGGCGACGAUCCCUAGCUGGUCUGAGAGGAUGACCAGCCACACUGGAACUGAGACACGGUCCAGACUCCUACGGGAGGCAGAAGUGGGGAAUAUUGCACAAUGGGCGCAAGCCUGAUGCAGCCAUGCCGCGUGUAUGAAGAAGGCCUUCGGGUUGUAAAGUACUUUCAGCGGGGAGGAAGGGAGUAAAGUUAAUACCCUUGCUCAUUGACGUUACCCGCAGAAGAAGCACCGGCUAACUCCGUG